Hemicordylus capensis (graceful crag lizard) is the source of this 1065-nucleotide long non-coding RNA. RefSeq lists it as uncharacterized. The record is from RefSeq and is a predicted model, not a curated record. Lineage: Eukaryota; Metazoa; Chordata; Lepidosauria; Squamata; Cordylidae. The transcript has 3 exons.
CCUGGGUCUCCCAAGUCCUAGUCCAGCACUCUAACCACUACACCAUGCUGGCUCUCUUCCUCUUAUGUCCAUCUUAUGUUCUUAUACCCAGCUUUCCUAUGUUUCUUCUUGGUGCUGUCUGAGUUGCCCAUAUCUCUUUGCCUUCAGAUCUGUCCAAGAAGGGAAGGUCAGGUUGAGACUUCUUGCAACGUGGUGUUUGGUCUAUAGGAUACAAUACUCGUACAGUAGUGGAAAGUCUAGGAAGGCUAUUACAAUGGGACAAUCAUCCAGAAGUUUGCCUGCCUAUAAAUGCUGAUUUAUAUGGAGAGUGUCUUGCAUUGUAAUCUGUAGCAUGAUGAUUUGCACACACAGUCUCCGGCUGGUUCAAGGAUAUGAUCAACAGAGGUAUGCGGUGACACUCUUAAGUGUCCUUUCCGCCAUGCUGAUUUAUGGGGCUGCUUUCCACUUCUCCUUCCACUGCCUGUAAUGCAAUAUAAAAGGAAAUAUAAAAUGGAGCUAUAAAAUAAUUGAUUCACUGGCAUAUACUAUCAAAUGAACUUGCAGUUCAGAAAGGCAAGGGAGCACGAUAGAUGAUUGUCACUUCUAACAGUGACAAAUGCCAGAAGGGGCUUGGAAAAUGAAGCUAAUGCUAAACUUAUUUGCACAGCCGAUAGGAAAUAUGACAAUGCCAACAAGAAGUCUCCUUCAUUCAAAUAUAUUGUGGCUCUUCUGUGUAGCUCUUCAUGGGUUUUACUGUCUUUGGUUCUAAUGGAUUAAAGUGUGUAUGGGGGGGGCAUUCUUAGGUCAUGGUUUUAUCAUCUAGAUAUGACUAGAUGAUUCACUAUUUAUUAGAAGAUGUAGGUUCUUUUAAUUGUGCUUUUCAUCCCAUGACCCCCUCCACUUUUAAGGGGUGACAUCCAGCACAGCGUAAUGUAGGUGCUGCCAAUCUACCUGUGUUGCUGUGACCUUGUAGUGUAGUGCCAUCUGUGUUGUGCUUGGCCAUCAAUGGUGUAUUUCUGACCUAAGUCACACUUCCUGAAUGUGGGUGCACUAAUCGAAAUAUUUGUGCCCUUGUGCAAAAGCAUA